RNAcentral lists this ribosomal RNA (524 nucleotides) under uncultured bacterium. RNAcentral's name for it is "bacterial SSU rRNA". It matches the Rfam family "Bacterial small subunit ribosomal RNA", at positions 1 to 525 of the family's 1533-position model. The record is from RNAcentral.
UAGAGUUUGAUCCUGGCUCAGGAUGAACGCUAGCGGCAGGCUUAACACAUGCAAGUCGAGGGGCAGCGGGGUGUAGCAAUACAUCGCCGGCGACCGGCGCACGGGUGCGUAACACGUAUGGAAUCUGCCCUGUACUGGGGGAUAGCCCUCCGAAAGGAGGAUUAAUACCCCAUAACAACUUGAGUGGCAUCACUUGGGUUUGAAAGCUCCGGCGGUACAGGAUGACCAUGCGCCCGAUUAGCUAGUAGGUGAGGUAACGGCUCACCUAGGCUACGAUCGGUAGGGGGCCUGAGAGGGUUAUCCCCCACACUGGUACUGAGACACGGACCAGACUCCUACGGGAGGCAGCAGUGAGGAAUAUUGCGCAAUGGAGGCAACUCUGACGCAGCCAUGCCGCGUGCAGGAAGAAGGCGCUACGCGUUGUAAACUGCUUUUAACCGGGAAGAAACCCCAGGACGUGUCCUGGGUUGACGGUACCGGAGGAAUAAGCACCAACGGACUUCGUGCCAGCAGCCGCGGUAAUA